This 253-nucleotide ribosomal RNA is filed under the name uncultured bacterium. RNAcentral describes it as "partial 16S ribosomal RNA". It matches the Rfam family "Bacterial small subunit ribosomal RNA", at positions 524 to 776 of the family's 1533-position model. The record is from RNAcentral.
UACAUAGGGUGCAAGCGUUAAUCGGAUUUACUGGGCGUAAAGCGCGCGUAGGCGGCUUUUUAAGUCAAAUGUGAAAUCCCCGAGCUUAACUUGGGAAUUGCAUUCGAUACUGGUUAGCUAGAGUGUGGGAGAGGAUGGUAGAAUUCCAGGUGUAGCGGUGAAAUGCGUAGAGAUCUGGAGGAAUACCGAUGGCGAAGGCAGCCAGCUGGGGUAACACUGACGCUGAGGUGCGAAAGCAUGGGGAGCAAACAGG